Molecule: long non-coding RNA, 306 nt
Organism: Ictalurus punctatus (channel catfish)
Lineage: Eukaryota; Metazoa; Chordata; Actinopteri; Siluriformes; Ictaluridae
Source: Ensembl
GGUGUUGCUGUUGUGUUUUGAUCUUGCUGUUGUGUUAUUGGUGUUGCUGUUGUGUAUUGAUCUUGCUGUUGUGUUAUUGGUGUUGCUGUUGUGUUUUGAUCUUGCUGUUGUGUUAUUGUAUGUUGCUGUUGUGUUAUUGGUGUUGCUGUUGUGUUAUUGAUCUUGCUGUUGUGUUAUUGGUGUUGCUGGUGUUGGCUGUUGUGUUAUUGAUCUUGCUGUUGUGUUAUUGGUGUUGCUGUUGUGUUAUUGGUCUUGCUGUUGUGUUAUUGUCUUGCUGUUGUGUUUUGAUCUUGCUGUUGUGUUAUU